UCAACCCUCAAGCCUGGCUUGGUGUUGGAUCGGGUCGUGUUCCGCACGACCGGUCCCAAAGACAAUGACGGCGUCUGGAGGACCCUCGGUGCAAUGAGCUUUCGGGCACGCACACGAGUUUCAAGGACCUUCAGCCCGGCCUCAACCCCAUUUUUUACAA
RNAcentral lists this unclassified non-coding RNA (160 nucleotides) under uncultured Chaetothyriales. Its description in RNAcentral is "sequence contains ITS2". Lineage: Eukaryota; Fungi; Ascomycota; Eurotiomycetes; Chaetothyriales. The record is from RNAcentral.